RNAcentral lists this ribosomal RNA (398 nucleotides) under uncultured bacterium. RNAcentral's name for it is "bacterial SSU rRNA". It matches the Rfam family "Bacterial small subunit ribosomal RNA", at positions 29 to 429 of the family's 1533-position model. The record is from RNAcentral.
AUUGAACGCUGGCGGAAUGCUUUACACAUGCAAGUCGAGCGGCAGCGCGGGGGCAACCCUGGCGGCGAGCGGCGAACGGGUGAGUAAUACAUCGGAACGUGUCCUUAAGUGGGGGAUAGCUCGGCGAAAGCCGGAUUAAUACCGCAUAAGCUCUGAGGAGGAAAGCGGGGGCUCCGUAAGGACCUCGCGCUGUUGGAGCGGCCGAUGUCGGAUUAGCUAGUUGGUGGGGUAAAGGCCCACCAAGGCGACGAUCCGUAGCUGGUCUGAGAGGAUGAUCAGCCACACUGGAACUGAGACACGGUCCAGACUCCUACGGGAGGCAGCAGUGGGGAAUUUUGGACAAUGGGGGCAACCCUGAUCCAGCCAUUCCGCGUGAGUGAAGAAGGCCUCGGUGUAAG